AAAGGGAGGCCUAAUUCAGGUAAAAGACGAGAAAAAAGUAGUCGCUACCAAGAAUCAAUCCCAAAAGGUCGGAGCGAGGCGAAAUUGGCUUUCAAACUAGGUUCUGGGUUCAAACAAGACCUGAAUCAGGAACAAGGGCUAUUAGCUCAGGUGGUUAGAGCGCACCCCUGAUAAGGGUGAGGUCCCUGGUUCGAGUCCAGGAUGGCCCACCUGCACAGGUGGCAAAAACAAGAGAAGCGAGGAAUCAGCACCUUAUCUUACUGACAUAGUAAGAGAGAAUGCUGGCUCUGAGUAAAGAGUCCAGAGGAACCUUGAAAACUGCAUAGAGCUAGGUGAAAAAGCCAAAAAAGAAGACCGCAAG
RNAcentral lists this transfer RNA (361 nucleotides) under uncultured Microcystis sp. RNAcentral describes it as "partial 16S-23S ribosomal RNA intergenic spacer". The stretch from base 136 to 209 matches the Rfam family "tRNA". The record is from RNAcentral. Lineage: Bacteria; Bacillati; Cyanobacteriota; Cyanophyceae; Chroococcales; Microcystaceae.